Molecule: long non-coding RNA, 278 nt
Organism: Ostrea edulis (European flat oyster)
Lineage: Eukaryota; Metazoa; Mollusca; Bivalvia; Ostreida; Ostreidae
Exons: 3
Source: RefSeq, a predicted model, not a curated record
AUUAUUCCUCUCUUGACAACACAGGGAAAUUGAAGGAUCAGAAAGAUUCACAACUUUCAUCACGGACGGAAAAUUGAAUUGUUGCAUUUUUCUAUACACGAAUGGGGACUCUAUCGUAACAGGACGUACACCAAGAUCACAUACUGAAAUAUAAAGAUUACCUUCCUACAUGUAAAAACAAGCUAUUCUACAAUUCGCACGCAGUGUUAUACGUUACUGAUACCUACCUUCCUCUGAUCCCAACAGCAGGUUUGUUGAACGUGUAGACUCUACAGAAG